UUGCAUUGCUGCCCAGUCAUGUGCCCACCAUUCCCUUGCUCCAAAUAUUUUCCUUACCAACCAGCUAGCCUGCUUUGGUGAUUCCAUGGUAUCAACUGUUUUUCUCUUUAUAUAAUGACAGUGGAUCCAUUUAAUCUAGAGUAUAUAUUUCUUUUGCAUUAGAGCCUAUAGCAGCUUUGACAAGGCUGCUUUGUUCCACCUCUCAUAGCAGAGAGAAGCUUGCUGUGGAGACACACUCCAUAAUUAAAGUGACCAUUUUGUCAGGUACACCAAAUUCCAGCAACACUGCCCUCAGAAAACCCCAUUCAACAGAGUCAUAAGUCUUCCUAAUAUCCACUUUGAUUAUGCACCUUCUGGGAGUAAGCUCUUAUCAGUUCAUGAGCCAUAAUGAUAUUGUCUAGGAUGUUUCUCCCCUCUAUGAAAGCAGAUUCUGCAUGCCCCACGAGAUAAUCCACAACUAUUUUAAGUCUGUUUGUAAGGAUUUAUGCAAUAACUUUGUACAGCGUUGAGAAGCAAGCAAUGGGUCUAUAUUCCUUGACAUAGUUGGGAUUUUUCACUUUCGGAAUCAAUGUAACAGUUGUGCAGUUGAUCUCUUUCAAUAAUUUUACAGUUUGAAAGAACUUCUGCACUACCUCUAUAACCUCCUCACCCACAAUUGGCCAGAACUGUUUAAAGAAUUCUGUAGGGUAACCAUCUAUUCCAGGAGCCUUGUCAUUAGGAAGAUUAUGUACUAUCUGGCUGAUUUCUUCCCUUGUUACUGGAGCUAACAAUUGCUGAUGUUGGUGCAAUGAUAGACAUGGCCCAUGUCUAGCCACAUUGAUGUCUAUUCCAGGAUGCUGAUCUGCUGCUGUGCCGAGUAACUGUUGAAAGAAUUGAAUGAACUCAUGCUGGAUCUGGUGUGGAUAAGUAAUCCUCAUAUGGUUGUCAUUGAGAAUGCUUCUCACCAUGUUUCUUGCUUAUCUGUAUUUCAUAUAUGCGUGGAAGUACUUUGUAUUGCUAUCACCCAGCUGGAUCCAGUUUGCUCUUGACUGCUGUCUCAUUAUUUGUUCUUGAAUGACUUCCCACUUUUCAAUGUUCUCUAACAGUUUCUUUUCUUCUACAAUCACUGCUUCAUUGAAAUAAUCUUCAUUCAGUUUUCCUUGAAUUACCCUAAGGCCUUCUCUUAUUUGUUGCAGCUUCUUAUCAACAGAUGAAUGCUCCUGGUGAAUGGUUGUGGUCUCCUGCUCAAUUUUUCUCAGUUUGCUCCAAAUAGAAUACAUAGUGUAUCCUCUGAUUUGUUGUCUCCACACUCUUUGAACUGCUUCCUUGUAUUCUUUUUGUUGCGUAACUGUUAGUAGUAGCGUGUAUGGUCUAUUCACUUUAAUUUUAACUAUUUCAAUGUAUAUAAUAUAGGGGUGUGAUCGGAACAUCCAGGUAACAUGUAUACUACUUCCACUUCUGUGUAAGAAUUGAACCACAUAUCAUAACCAAAGGGCCAGUCUAUAUGGCUAUAGACUCUGGCUUCAACAUUUCUUUUGUUGCUCCUUGAGAAUUUUUUGCCUCUUUUGGUAAGCUGCCCCACUCCAAUGUCAUCAAUACAUCUCUGAAAUUCAGCUAUCUCUGAAGGAUGCACUGGCUGACCAUUUAUCCUAUCCUCAACCCCUAACAGACUGUUGAAAUUCUCCAUUAUAAGCCAAGGGACAGUAUGUUGGACAACUCUCAAAUCCCUCCAUAGUGGUGCUCUGUGUUGGGUAGUGUGUAGGUCAUAUACAAAGGUGAUGUAGCUAGUAAAGGUUGAGUUCUUAUCUUUCACCUGACAAUGGAUUAGUUGAUCAGUGCUUUCCAGUAGUACCACCUGAACAUUGACAUAUUUCCACAUUAUCCACAUCCUUCCAUUUGGAGCAUGUUCAUAGUUGUUCCUUAUUGUCCACUCACCUCCCAGCUUCUUAUGGAUUGCCAUUGAGUUUUGCUGCUUCACUCUAGUUUCUAGGCAAGAUAGCAUAUCAACUCUCUUAGUCCUCAGAAAUUUGACUAACUCUCUUUGUUUCUUCACUCUUGUUUCUAGACAAGCUAUCAUAUCAACUCUAUAAGUCCUCAGGAAUUUGACUAAUUCUCUUUGUUUGUAGGACUUGUUUAGUCCACUAAUGUUCCAGGAUACAAUAAUCAUGGGUGGAUGUAGUUCCACCUGGAUCUAAUAGACCUGGCUCUAGGCUGCAUUCUCCCUUCUGUUGGUUCCCAUCAUGAGGCUAUAAUAUAGUGAGUACUUCAAAUGUAUUUCUCCAAGCUACUUCAGCAUAGUUGGUCUCUUUGUUUUGGUUUCUAUCUUUAGGGCCUUGUACAAUUGCAAUCCGCUUGCCUUUGUUAUUCCUUUGGGCUUCUACUGCACAAAACUCUGUUGGUUUUUCAUUCUGCUGCCCAUCUAAUGUCUCCUUAGUUACAACUUUUGGUUGUCAUUGCACUCUGGUUAUCUUCUUCUUCCUCCUUCUCUGCCUCUGGACCCCUUCAGUCUGUUGUUCCUCCUUCUGACAAUCUCUAUUUUUGUGCCCAAACGAGUUACAUUCUAGACAGAAGGUUGGUUUCCAUUCGUACUCCACAUUUUGUAGACAGCCUUUUCCAUCUGGUAUCUCAAUAUAGACAUUCUCAGGCAGAGGUUGAGUGAUAUCAACUUCCACAAGAUCUCUCGCAUAAAAGAUUCUUUCACAUUCAGCAGUUAAUCUAUCGGUGCAUAAAGGCUUACCAAUUAAGUUUGCUAUUCUGCCUAAAUUCUCUUCAGCCCAGCGUUGGAUUCGUAGCCCAGGGAAACUGACCCAAAAAGGGACAAUUCUCAUCGACUAGUGCUGAAUCUGAAAAUUAGGAUCCCAUUCCUUCAGAAUCAUAGGCCUAGGGUUGAACGUAUAUGGUCCUUUUUGCAUGAUUAGGUUCUUAUCCUCCAUAGAUUCAAAUUUGAAGAUGAAGUACACAUCAUCAUGCAGGAACAUUGUAGGCGUUGUAAUCUCAUUCGAGACGCCAUAAGAAUACUUCAACAUUUCCUUAAAUGAUGGAUUACCUCCUAAGACAUAACCAAUUAAAGCAUACCUCCACUUCUGGUUCUGAAUCUCUAUCUCCUUAGGGUUCACUCCAUCCUUCAUCAUUGGAGGAUAGAACUUAAGCUGCAUGCCCUGAUUUUGAGUCCUGUUACCUUUGACUACCUCCGCCAUUGUUGGCUUCUGGGUUUCAUUUGAGUACGUGAGUUUCCUAGCCAUUGUCGUUCCACCUGCGACCUACUUCGCUGGCGGUGCCUGCAUGACUGUAGGAGCACUCCCCAUACCAGGAAACCAGUGUAGUAGGGGCAAUGGGGUUAGUUGUUGUGGUAUUUCGCUCUCCGGUGUUAUCACUCUCGUCAUAUUCACAGAGGGGAAGUAUUAGUAAGGUCGAUUGGAUAUGGCGGGGGGUGGCCCGCGGCAGGCGGCUUCUCGCUUGCCAGUCACCGGAGUUUCUCUCUCCUCUCUCUAAACAUCCUCCUCAUUCGGCUAAAAAGUUAGUAAGGUUACAAUAGCUUCAAACACGUGGCAAAACCCUUGUAUUAGCUACAG
Molecule: long non-coding RNA, 3551 nt
Filed under: Nicotiana benthamiana
Lineage: Eukaryota; Viridiplantae; Streptophyta; Magnoliopsida; Solanales; Solanaceae
Description: long non-coding RNA (NBEN_LNC010129)
Source: RNAcentral